GACGAACGCUGGCGGCACGCUUAACACAUGCAAGUCGAACGAGAGAAGAGGAGCUUGCUUUUCUGAUCUAGUGGCGGACGGGUGAGUAACACGUGAGCAAUCUGCCUUUCAGAGGGGGAUACCGAUUGGAAACGAUCGUUAAUACCGCAUAACAUAAUUGAACCGCAUGAUUUGAUUAUCAAAGAUUUAUCGCUGAAAGAUGAGCUCGCGUCUGAUUAGCUAGUUGGUAAGGUAACGGCUUACCAAGGCGACGAUCAGUAGCCGGACUGAGAGGUUGAUCGGCCACAUUGGGACUGAGACACGGCCCAGACUCCUACGGGAGGCAGCAGUGGGGAAUAUUGCACAAUGGAGGAAACUCUGAUGCAGCGAUGCCGCGUGAGGGAAGAAGGUUUUAGGAUUGUAAACCUCUGUCUUCAGGGACGAAAAAAGACGGUACCUGAGGAGGAAGCUCCGGCUAACUACGUGCCAGCAGCCGCCGCCG
RNAcentral lists this ribosomal RNA (481 nucleotides) under uncultured bacterium. RNAcentral describes it as "partial 16S ribosomal RNA". It matches the Rfam family "Bacterial small subunit ribosomal RNA", at positions 28 to 523 of the family's 1533-position model. The record is from RNAcentral.